GACAGAGGAUGCAAGCGUUAUCCGGAAUGAUUGGGAGUAAAGCGUCUGUAGGUGGCUUUUCAAGUCCGCCAUCAAAUCCCAGGGCUCAACCCUGGACAGGCGGUGGAAACUACCAAGUUGGAGUACGGUAGGGGCAGAGGGAAUUUUCGGUGGAGUGGUGAAAUGCAUUGAGAUCGGAAAGAACACCAACGGCGAAAGCACUCUGCUGGGCCAACACUGACACUGAGAGAUGAAAGCUAGGGGAGCAAAUGGG
RNAcentral lists this ribosomal RNA (253 nucleotides) under uncultured bacterium. Its description in RNAcentral is "partial 16S ribosomal RNA". It matches the Rfam family "Bacterial small subunit ribosomal RNA", at positions 524 to 776 of the family's 1533-position model. The record is from RNAcentral.